AAGGAGCAUCUAGCUGCCGCAAGGCAGCCAGGCCACAACGUCGGCGAAUGUUCGACGGUGGUUGCUCAUGGGUGGAACGUUGAUUAUUCGGCCGGUUCGUCGGGCCGGAGGCUGUGAGUACUACCCCUUGUGGGUGUGGAAAGCAUGAUCUCCGGACGAGAGACUGGUCGGGCACGCUGUUGGGUGUCUGAGGGUAUGGCCGUACGGCUGCCUUCAGUGCCGGCCCCGGUAAAAAUUCGCGUGAAGCGGGUUGUGACGGGUGGUUGGUCGUUGUUUGAGAACUGCACAGUGGACGCGAGCAUCUGUGG
This 308-nucleotide unclassified non-coding RNA is filed under the name Streptomyces scabiei. Its description in RNAcentral is "partial 16S-23S intergenic spacer". The record is from RNAcentral. Lineage: Bacteria; Bacillati; Actinomycetota; Actinomycetes; Kitasatosporales; Streptomycetaceae.